GGAGUGGUAGCUCGGUGGUUAAAGUGUUGGACUACUGAUUGGAAGGUUGCGAGUUCAAAUGUCAAGCCUGCCA
Non-coding RNA from Pangasius djambal, 73 nucleotides. The record is from the annotation of a GenBank genome assembly. NCBI's taxonomy places the organism in Eukaryota, Metazoa, Chordata, Actinopteri, Siluriformes, Pangasiidae.